UGAAAUGGAAUGAAUCUUUCAAAUUAAAUUUAAACUUAUAUAUUUUAAAUCAUAAAACUAUGACAUUAUUGUCUAUAGCUUACACUAGUUUGUUAGCUAUUAUUAUCCGUAGUUGGAAUUAGUAAUUUAUAGUAGAACUCAGAUUCACGAGAUCUCACAAACAAACUGGUCCACUACACAUUACUCUGUAUCAAUAAGACCAAAUUCUAAUAACUACAUAAAACAGUGUAGUGCUUUACUACAACUGGAAGAAGAAAAGAAAAGCUAAGAGAACACAAUGCUGCUACUCAUAAUAAUCUCUUCUAUCUUUCUCAUCCUUUUUAUGAUAAUCAAAUGGUAUUCCAAUUCUACAAAAACCAAAAACUCACCUCCUUCUCCUCCAAAAUUCCCUAUAAUAGGAAAUUUACAUCAACUUGGCCUAUUCCCUCACCGCACACUUCAAUCUCUGGCUAAACAAUAUGGCCCUUUCAUGCAAAUCCAUCUUGGGAGUGUACCAGUUCUUGUAGUCUCAUCACCUGAAGCAGCAUGUGAGAUUAUGAAAACUCAUGACCGCGUCUUUGCAAACAGACCCCAAACUAAACUUUAUGACAUACUUUUAUAUGAUUGCAAAGAUGUUUCCACAGCUGCAUAUGGAGAGUAUUGGAGACAGAUAAGGAGUAUUUCUGUUUUACAUCUUCUCAGUGCUAAAAGGGUUCAAUCUCUUCGCGCUGUGAGAGAGGAAGAAGUUGGUUUUAUGGUGGAGAAAAUAAAGCAGUGCUGUUCUGGUUCGGUGCCGGUGAAUAUAAGUGAAUUAGUCUCCACAACUAUUAACGAUAUAGUUUGUAGGGUUGCUUUGGGGAGAAAGUAUAGCGGUGAAAGUGGGAAGGGGUUUAAGAAGUUGUUGAUGGAGUUUACAGAGUUACUAGGUACUAUUAUUGUUGGUGACUAUGUUCCUUGGCUUGAUUGGUUGACCCAUGUUUCUGGAUUUUAUGCAAGAGCAAAAAGAGUGGCUAAAGAGUUUGAUGAUCUUUUGGAGGAUGUUGUUGAAGAUCAUAUCAGGAAGCAGAAAGAAGACAGUGAUUUUUCAAGUGCUGAAGAUCAUCGUGACUUUGUUGAUGUUUUGCUUUGGAUUCAAAGGACAGAAUCACUUGGCUUUCCAAUUGACAGAACUGUCAUAAAAGCUCUGUUGUUGGACAUGUUUUCUGGUGGCACAGACACAAUAUCCACGUUGCUAGAGUGGACAAUGACAGAACUCUUAAAACAUCCAAAUAUCAUGAAGAAAUUACAAGAAGAAGCAAGGGCAGUCGCUAAUGGAAGAACACACAUAACAGAAGAUGAUUUGCGUAGCAUGAAAUACUUACCAGCAGUGAUUAAAGAAACACUGCGAGUACAUCCACCAAUCCCAUUACUAGUCCCUCGAGAAAACAGACAAGAUAUCAAAGUAACUGGUUACCACAUCAAAGGUGGGACACGAGUAAUCAUAAAUGCUUGGGCCAUUGCAAGAGAUCCAACAUAUUGGGAUCAACCUGAAGAUUUCAAGCCAGAGAGAUUCCUGAGUAGUGAAAUAGAUGUGAAGGGAAAUGAUUUCCGAUUGAUUCCAUUUGGAGCAGGGAGAAGGGGCUGUCCAGGGAUAGUUUAUGCUAUGGCUGCCGGUGAAAUUGUGUUGGCCAACCUUGUGCAUAAAUUUAAUUGGGAAUUACAUGGUGAUGCUGCAGGAUUGGAAAACUUGGACAUGUCUGAAACAUUUGGUUUAACCAUGCAUAGAAAGACUCCUCUUCUAGCAACUGCAACCUAUGAAUGAGGAAUAUCCGCAGGUAUCCGAAGAUGAAACCUCAAAAAUAACCGCAGAUAAUACCGCAGGAAUACGGCAGCUCCGAUACAUGUUCGACUUUGGAACACAGAUACGUUUGAAUGUCUUAAUCGGACGUUGUACAGUUGGUUAGAGGGAGAAAUUGGAGAGGUUGAACGGAUUAGAAGAAUACAAUGGCUUGUGUCCACGUUCAACCAACACGGAGAAGUGCGCGAAUGGCUGGAUAUUAAGAUCGACAAAGACGCUCGUAGGAUGAUGCAUUACAUGUUCAAAAUUGUUUUGAUGGUUGUAAUCGUAUAGUUUUUGUAUUCUAGUUGUUUUAAUUGUUUGUGUUAUUUUUUAUGAACAACUGUCUUUUCGUCACAGACGUCUACUAUGAAGUAAAUUUAGUUUUCCAUA
Molecule: RNA transcript, 2188 nt
Organism: Lathyrus oleraceus (garden pea)
Lineage: Eukaryota; Viridiplantae; Streptophyta; Magnoliopsida; Fabales; Fabaceae
Gene name: cytochrome P450 736A117
Exons: 4
Source: RefSeq, a predicted model, not a curated record